RNAcentral lists this transfer RNA (55 nucleotides) under Caenorhabditis afra. RNAcentral's name for it is "tRNA-Ala". Lineage: Eukaryota; Metazoa; Nematoda; Chromadorea; Rhabditida; Rhabditidae. The record is from RNAcentral.
GGGGUUUUAGUUUAUUAAAAAAUAUAUGUUUUGCAUACAUAAGAUUUAAACUCUA